CAGUAGCCGCGGUAAUACGAAGGGUGCAAGCGUUAAUCGGAAUUACUGGGCAUAAAGCGUGCGUAGGCGGUGAGUUAAGUCUGCUGUGAAAUCCCCGGGCUCAACCUGGGAAUGGCAGUGGAUACUGGCUCGCUAGAGUGUGUCAGAGGAUGGUGGAAUUCCCGGUGUAGCGGUGAAAUGCGUAGAGAUCGGGAGGAACAUCAGUGGCGAAGGCGGCCAUCUGGGACAACACUGACGCUGAGGCACGAAAGCGUGGGGAGCAAACAGGAUUAGAUACCCCUGUAGUCCCUGUCUCUUAUAC
This 301-nucleotide ribosomal RNA is filed under the name uncultured bacterium. RNAcentral describes it as "partial 16S ribosomal RNA". It matches the Rfam family "Bacterial small subunit ribosomal RNA", at positions 509 to 807 of the family's 1533-position model. The record is from RNAcentral.